Molecule: microRNA precursor, 136 nt
Filed under: Hordeum vulgare
Lineage: Eukaryota; Viridiplantae; Streptophyta; Magnoliopsida; Poales; Poaceae
Description: microRNA MIR1122
Rfam family: MIR1120/MIR1122 microRNA precursor family
Source: RNAcentral
GAGAUACUUCCUCCGUCCCAAAAUUCUUUUCUUAAAUUUUUCUAGAUAUGGAUGUAUCUAGUCACGUUUUAGUAUUUUGAUACAUCCAUUUCUAGACAAACCUAAGACAAGAAUUUUGGGACAGAGGGAGUACCAU